GCCUGAGUAGCUCAGCUGGAUAGAGCGACUGCCUUCUAAGCAGUAGGUCGCAGGUUCGAAUCCUGUCUCGGGCA
This 74-nucleotide transfer RNA is filed under the name Candidatus Pacearchaeota archaeon. RNAcentral's name for it is "tRNA-Arg". It matches the Rfam family "tRNA". Rfam says of the family: Transfer RNA (tRNA) molecules are approximately 80 nucleotides in length. Their secondary structure includes four short double-helical elements and three loops (D, anti-codon, and T loops). Further hydrogen bonds mediate the characteristic L-shaped molecular structure. tRNAs have two regions of fundamental functional importance: the anti-codon, which is responsible for specific mRNA codon recognition, and the 3' end, to which the tRNAs corresponding amino acid is attached (by aminoacyl-tRNA synthetases). tRNAs cope with the degeneracy of the genetic code in two manners: having more than one tRNA (with a specific anti-codon) for a particular amino acid; and 'wobble' base-pairing, i.e. permitting non-standard base-pairing at the 3rd anti-codon position. Lineage: Archaea; Nanobdellati. The record is from RNAcentral.